This 480-nucleotide unclassified non-coding RNA is filed under the name Hevea brasiliensis (rubber tree). Lineage: Eukaryota; Viridiplantae; Streptophyta; Magnoliopsida; Malpighiales; Euphorbiaceae. The record is from RNAcentral.
GCUGAACAAGACAAGAAAAGUGCUAUUAUCAGAGCAGAGGGGGAGGCUACGAGUGCCCAGCUCAUAGGCCAGGCUAUUGCCAACAAUCCUGCAUUUAUCACACUUAGGAAGAUAGAAGCUUCAAGAGAAAUUGCUCAGACAAUCUCAAAUUCUGCCAACAAGGUUUUCCUUAAUUCAGAGGAUUUGCUACUGAACCUUCAAAAGAUGGAGUUGGCGGUUCAUGGGAAGAAGUAGGCAUCUCUUGGUUUUGGAGUCCAGCUCAUGGUAAUUACAGUCGAGUAUUUUUGGAUCAAUUUCACUUUAUGUGCAUCUCCUCGUCGAGCGAUCUUAAAGGCGGAUUCUUUCACAUUGGCUUGGUGUAUUCUGGAUUUUUAAUAAUUUUGAAAUACUUCUCAAUGCAGUUGAAUUCUAAUUGAUACUUUGUUGGGUAUGAAAACCGUAAUCAAAUCAAACCAAGUUAAACCUCCAAAAAUACUCGAC